This 253-nucleotide ribosomal RNA is filed under the name uncultured bacterium. RNAcentral's name for it is "partial 16S ribosomal RNA". It matches the Rfam family "Bacterial small subunit ribosomal RNA", at positions 524 to 776 of the family's 1533-position model. The record is from RNAcentral.
GACGUAGGAGGCGAGCGUUGUCCGGAUUCAUUGGGCGUAAAGCGUGCGCAGGCGGUGAUGUAAGACCGAUGUGAAAUCCCCGGGCUUAACCUGGGAACUGCAUUGGUGACUGCAUCGCUCGAGUAUGGCAGAGGGGGGUAGAAUUCCACGUGUAGCAGUGAAAUGCGUAGAGAUGUGGAGGAAUACCGAUGGCGAAGGCAGCCCCCUGGGUCAAUACUGACGCUCAUGCACGAAAGCGUGGGGAGCAAACAGG